UCUGGUUGAUCCUGCCAGUAGCAUAUGCUUGUCACAAAGAUUAAGCCAUGCAUGUCUAAGUAUAAAUAGUAUACAGUGAAACUGCGAAUGGCUCAUUAAAACAGUUAUAGUUUAUUUGAUAAUGGAAGCCUACAUGGAUAACCGUAGUAAUUCUAGAGCUAAUACAUGCUGUUAAACCUGACUCACGAAAGGUUGUAUUUAUUAGAUAUGAAGCCAAUAUUCCAUCCGGAUUAUUGUGGUGAAUCAUAGUAACUGAUCGAAUCUCCAUCUGGAGAUAAAUCAUUCAAGUUUCUGCUCUAUCAGCUUUCGAUGGUAGUGUAUUGGACUACCAUGGCAGUCACGGGUAACGGAGAAUUAGGGUUCGAUUCCGGAGAGGGAGCCUGAGAAACGGCUACCACAUCUAAGGAAGGCAGCAGGCGCGUAAAUUACCCAAUCCUGAUUCAGGGAGGUAGUGACAAGAAGUAACAACCCGGGGGACUCACGUCUUUACGGGAUUGCAAUGAGAACAAUUUAAAUCACUUAGCGAGGAUCAAUUGGAGGGCAAGUCUGGUGCCAGCAGCCGCGGUAAUUCCAGCUCCAAUAGUGUAUAUUAAAGUUGUUGCAGUUAAAAAGCUCGUAGUUGAACUUCUGGCAGUGUGCAGAUAUGGCUACGGUCAGUCUGUUCGCUGUCAUCCGUCUGCAAACCUCGUACGUCCUUGAGUGGUUCGGCGAGGGGAGUAGACAUUUUACUUUGAAAAAAUUAGAGUGUUUCAAGCAGGCUUUUGCCAGAAUACUUUAGCAUGGAAUAAUGGAAUAGGACUUCUGUCCAUUUGGUUGGUUAUUGGCCAGGAGUAAUGAUUAAUAGGGACAGUUGGGGGCAUUAGUAUUUAAUUGUCAGAGGUGAAAUUCAUGGAUUUAUUAAAGACUAACUUAUGCGAAAGCAUUUGCCAAGGAUGUUUUCAUUAAUCAAGAACGAAAGUUAGGGGAUCAAAGACGAUCAGAUACCGUCCUAGUCUUAACUAUAAACGAUGUCGACUCGGGAUUGGAAGGGUUCCUUUUAUCCCUUCCAGCACCGUAUGAGAAAUCAUUAAGUCUUUGGGUUCUGGGGGGAGUAUGGUCGCAAGGCUGAAACUUAAAGGAAUUGACGGAAGAGCACCACCAGGCGUGGGACCUGCGGCUUAAUUUGACCCAACACGGGAAAACUUAUUUCAGCAAAACAUGAGUGGGAUUGACAGAUUGAGAGCUCUUUCUUGAUUUUAUGGGGUGUGGGGCAUGGCCGUUCUUAGUUGGUGGAGUGAUUUGUCUGGUUAAUUCCGUUAACGAACGAGACCUUAACCUGCUAACUAGUCAGCG
RNAcentral lists this ribosomal RNA (1332 nucleotides) under metagenome. RNAcentral describes it as "SSU rRNA". It matches the Rfam family "Eukaryotic small subunit ribosomal RNA", at positions 1 to 1364 of the family's 1831-position model. The record is from RNAcentral.